This 253-nucleotide ribosomal RNA is filed under the name uncultured bacterium. RNAcentral's name for it is "partial 16S ribosomal RNA". It matches the Rfam family "Bacterial small subunit ribosomal RNA", at positions 524 to 776 of the family's 1533-position model. The record is from RNAcentral.
UACGAAGGGUGCGAGCGUUACUCGGAAUCACUGGGCUUAAAGCGUUUGUAGGCCGUCUGGUAAGUUUGGUGUGAAAUCCCAUCCCUCAAAGGUGGAAGUGCAUUGAAUACUGCUAGACUAGAGUAUAGGAGAGGUGGACGGAAUUCCUGGUGUAGAGGUGAAAUUCGUAGAUAUCAGGAGGAACAACGGAGGCGAAGGCGGUCCACUGGACUAUAACUGACGCUGAAAAACGAAAGUGUGGGGAGCAAACAGG